CCCAGUGAAUAUAUUAACGGCCGCGGUAUCCUAACCGUGCAAAGGUAGCAUAAUCAUUUGCCUCUUAAUUAGGGGCUAGUAUGAAUGGAUAUAUGAAAUUAAAGCUGUCUCUUUUCUUUUAAUAAAAAUUGUCUUACAGGUGCAGAGACUUGUAUUUUAAUGAAGGACAAAAAGACCCUAUCGAGCUUUAUCUUUAAUGAGAUAUUUGUGAUAUAUUUACUUUAUAACUCUAUUAGAUUUGGUUGGGGCGACAAAGAAAUAUAUAAAUCUUUCUUUAUAAUUUUGAAUAAUAUUUCUUACGGGUGAUCUUAAUAAAAGAAAGAAGAAAUAGUUACCGUAGGGAUAACAGGCUAAUCCUUCCGGAGAGUUCAAAUUGAUGGGAGGGGUUGGCACCUCGAUGUUGGCUUAAGAUAUCCUAUAGGUGUAGCAGCUUAUAAGGGUUGGUUUGUUCAUCCAUUAAAAUCUU
This 466-nucleotide ribosomal RNA is filed under the name Sige fusigera. RNAcentral describes it as "partial 16S ribosomal RNA". It matches the Rfam family "Bacterial large subunit ribosomal RNA", at positions 1862 to 2597 of the family's 2925-position model. The record is from RNAcentral. Lineage: Eukaryota; Metazoa; Annelida; Polychaeta; Phyllodocida; Phyllodocidae.